AGAGUUUGAUUAUGGCUCAGGAUGAACGCUAGCUACAGGCUAACACAUGCAAGUCGAGGGGCAGCAUUGGAGUAGCAAUACUUCAGAUGGCGACCGGCGCACGGGUGAGUAACACGUAUCCAACCUGCCGCUUACUCGGGGAUAGCCUUUCGAAAGAAAGAUUAAUACCCGAUGGUAUAAAGAGUUCGCAUGUUCUCUUUAUUAAAGAAUUUCGGUAAGCGAUGGGGAUGCGUUCCAUUAGAUAGUUGGCGGGUAACGGCCCACCAAGUCUACGAUGGAUAGGGGUUCUGAGAGGAAGGUCCCCCACAUUGGAACUGAGACACGGUCCAAACUCCUACGGGAGGCAGCAGUGAGGAAUAUUGGUCAAUGGACGAGAGUCUGAACCAGCCCAAGUAGCGUGAAGGAUGACUGCCCUAUGGGUUGUAAACUUCUUUUAUAAGGGAAUAAAGUGAGGGACGUGUCCCUUUUUGUAUGUACCUUAUGAAUAAGGAUCGGCUAACUCCGUGCCAGCCGCGGC
This 517-nucleotide ribosomal RNA is filed under the name uncultured bacterium. RNAcentral describes it as "bacterial SSU rRNA". It matches the Rfam family "Bacterial small subunit ribosomal RNA", at positions 8 to 518 of the family's 1533-position model. The record is from RNAcentral.